UCUGUCCCCGUCCAUCACCACUCCUGCCAUCCACCCAAGCUAAGGCCACGUCAUGAGAGCUGAGCAGGACCUCAGGCCAGCCCAGGGCAAACUCCUCUGUCACUGACUGACUGCCUGGAACUCCAUUCCUGCAGAGCAAGAUAGACAUGAACAACUAAUUUGGAGCUUGAAAAAUGGUAGAGACUUACACAAUGAUGAGGAGCGGGUGGAGGUUGGCUUCAAACCCCUGAGGCAAGGACAAUUUCAGGUGGAGGUCUGAUGAAAACAAACAUGGUAUACCAUGGUUAUCUGCUGAGAGUGUCUUGAACAGGGUCUCGGAGAGUCUCUUUCCCUGUAGUGCUUCAGAGAGAGGUGCAUUAUCCUCCAUAACAAUGUAACCUAUCGAAAGAAAGAACUAUUGUUUUCAAAUAUGCCUAUACAAUCGAGAAUGCAGCUGCAAAUUCUCUGCAAACAGACAAUUCCACCCCAAAAAUGAAAUUUGGACACAUAAUAAUUUCAAUAUUGAUAUUCACGUGGAUUAUUUCCCCUUAACUUUAUUUGAAGUCUGAAAUGUGAAGAAUCUUAGAAGGUGUGGAGAAUCUUUUUGAGUUUUUGAGCCAUAGGAGGUUUUUAAAAUGUGUGUAUACUGCCCUCUACAGGCUUCUGUGCAGUGCUUUAUAAUGGAGCUGGGAGAGCAGGUUUGGCUUAAUGAAUUGAAGUAAAAAUGUACAAUAUGGUGAAAAAACUCACUGGAAGGGUCCUUUGUACUGUGAACGGUAACUUUAGGGAUCCCAGGGCCUAAGUGUAUAUGGUUAAAUAAAGACAUUUGUUUUCAAAU
Molecule: long non-coding RNA, 817 nt
Organism: Osmerus eperlanus (European smelt)
Lineage: Eukaryota; Metazoa; Chordata; Actinopteri; Osmeriformes; Osmeridae
Exons: 3
Source: RefSeq, a predicted model, not a curated record